Molecule: ribosomal RNA, 494 nt
Filed under: uncultured Cytophagaceae bacterium
Lineage: Bacteria; Pseudomonadati; Bacteroidota; Cytophagia; Cytophagales; Cytophagaceae
Description: partial 16S ribosomal RNA
Source: RNAcentral
CACGGAGUUAGUCGGUGCUUAUUCUGCAGGUACCGUCAUCGCAUUACACGUAAUGCUUAUUCCUCCCUGUCAAAAGCAGUUUACGACUCAGAAAGCCUUCUUCCUGCACGCGGCAUGGCUGGGUCAGGCUCUCGCCCAUUGCCCAAUAUUCCCUACUGCUGCCUCCCGUAGGAGUCGGGCCCGUAUCUCAGUGCCCGUGUGGGGGACCAGCCUCUCAGCUCCCCUAGUCAUCGUCGCCUUGGUAAGCCGUUACCUUAUCAACUAGCUAAUGACCCGCAACCCCAUCUAUAACCAAUAAAUCUUUACUAAGCAAGUGAUGCCACUCGCAGAGCUUAUGCGGUAUUAAUCCGCCUUUCGGCGGGCUAUCCCCCAGUUAUAGGUAGGUUAGUUACGUGUUACGCACCCGUGCGCCACUAUCUGUAUUGCUACAAACCGUUCGACUUGCAUGUAUUAGGCCUGCCGCUAGCGUUCAUCCUGAGCCAGGAUCAAACUCU